UGGGGUAUGGCUCAGGGGUAGAGUGCAUGCUUAGCAUGUAGGAGGUCCUGGGUUCAAUCCCCAGUGCCUCCA
Molecule: transfer RNA, 72 nt
Filed under: Camelus bactrianus (Bactrian camel)
Lineage: Eukaryota; Metazoa; Chordata; Mammalia; Artiodactyla; Camelidae
Also listed under: 2 other names
Rfam family: tRNA
About the family: Transfer RNA (tRNA) molecules are approximately 80 nucleotides in length. Their secondary structure includes four short double-helical elements and three loops (D, anti-codon, and T loops). Further hydrogen bonds mediate the characteristic L-shaped molecular structure. tRNAs have two regions of fundamental functional importance: the anti-codon, which is responsible for specific mRNA codon recognition, and the 3' end, to which the tRNAs corresponding amino acid is attached (by aminoacyl-tRNA synthetases). tRNAs cope with the degeneracy of the genetic code in two manners: having more than one tRNA (with a specific anti-codon) for a particular amino acid; and 'wobble' base-pairing, i.e. permitting non-standard base-pairing at the 3rd anti-codon position.
Source: Rfam by way of RNAcentral